ACAACAAACCUUUCAUUUCUGGGACACUGUUUGUAAAAUCAUUAAAUUUACUGACAUAAGAGGUAUCUUGAGGAGGAUGGUCGCGAUAUUCGACCAAUGCAAGACGAACGUCGAAAGCUGUACGAGUAACGCUCUCUGCAAUAAAUAUGAUAUGUCUUUGAGCUUGAGUGAUAUAUGAACCCAUAGAUCCCGUACAAUCUACAACAAAAGCUAGAUCGACUUGCUGUGAGUUGUGGCGUGCAGACCAUCCAUCAAAUGAACGAGCCAUGUUUGGAUAUCUUCGUGUAAGCACCGUUUAUACAACAAAAUUUUCUUUUAAUUUGAAGAAGCAAUUCAAGCAAGAUUGCAUUCACUGAUUCACAUUUCACUAUUUUCACACUUUC
This is a non-coding RNA of Paramuricea clavata, 383 nucleotides long. NCBI's taxonomy places the organism in Eukaryota, Metazoa, Cnidaria, Anthozoa, Malacalcyonacea, Plexauridae. The record is from the annotation of a GenBank genome assembly.